GAUGAACGCUGGCGGCGUGCCUAAUUCAUGCAAGUCGAGCGAACAGACGAGGAGCUUGCUCCUCUGACGUUAGCGGCGGACGGGUGAGUAACACGUGGAUAACCUACCUAUAAGACUGGGAUAACUUCGGGAAACCGGAGCUAAUACCGGAUAAUAUAUUGAACCGCAUGGUUCAAUAGUGAAAGACGGUUUUGCUGUCACUUAUAGAUGGAUCCGCGCCGCAUUAGCUAGUUGGUAAGGUAACGGCUUACCAAGGCAACGAUGCGUAGCCGACCUGAGAGGGUGAUCGGCCACACUGGAACUGAGACGCGGUCCAGACUCCUACGGGAGGCAGCAGUAGGGAAUCUUCCGCAAUGGGCGAAAGCCUGACGGAGCAACGCCGCGUGAGUGAUGAAGGUCUUCGGAUCGUAAAACUCUGUUAUUAGGGAAGAACAAAUGUGUAAGUAACUAUGCACGUCUUGACGGUACCUAAUCAGAAAGCCACGGCUAACUACGUG
This 497-nucleotide ribosomal RNA is filed under the name uncultured bacterium. Its description in RNAcentral is "partial 16S ribosomal RNA". It matches the Rfam family "Bacterial small subunit ribosomal RNA", at positions 28 to 507 of the family's 1533-position model. The record is from RNAcentral.